This is a long non-coding RNA of Cydia amplana, 160 nucleotides long. RefSeq lists it as uncharacterized. Lineage: Eukaryota; Metazoa; Arthropoda; Insecta; Lepidoptera; Tortricidae. The record is from RefSeq and is a predicted model, not a curated record. The transcript has 2 exons.
GAUAUUUGUUCCUGAGUCUUGGUUGUUUUCUAUGUAUUUAUGUAUUUGCUAAUAAAAAAAUAUUAUAUAUAUCGUUGUCUGAGUACCCACAACACAAGCCUUCUUGAGCUUACUGUGGGACUUAGUCAAUCUGUGUAAGAAUGUCCUAUAAUAUUUAUUU